UACGUAGGGUGCAAGCGUUAAUCGGAAUUACUGGGCGUAAAGCGUGCGCAGGCGGUUUUGUAAGCCAGAUGGGAAAUCCCCGGGCUUAACCUGGGAAUGGCAUUUGGGACUGCAAGGCUUGAGUGCGGCAGAGGAGACUGGAAUUCCUGGUGUAGCAGUGAAAUGCGUAGAUAUCAGGAGGAAUACCGAUGGCGAAGGCAGCUCGCUGGGACGUUACUGACGCUGAGACGCGAAAGCGUGGGGAGCAAACAGG
This 253-nucleotide ribosomal RNA is filed under the name uncultured bacterium. Its description in RNAcentral is "partial 16S ribosomal RNA". It matches the Rfam family "Bacterial small subunit ribosomal RNA", at positions 524 to 776 of the family's 1533-position model. The record is from RNAcentral.